Long non-coding RNA from Strigops habroptila (Kakapo), 244 nucleotides. RefSeq lists it as uncharacterized. Lineage: Eukaryota; Metazoa; Chordata; Aves; Psittaciformes; Psittacidae. The transcript has 3 exons. The record is from RefSeq and is a predicted model, not a curated record.
UAAGGUCUCCAGAGACGUGCCUGAACCAAAACUUCAGAUCUGAGCAUCCUUGAACUCUUGGCAAGUUUGGAUUCAGUUCUGGAUACACAGAUUGCAGUGAUGUCUUCCCACUGAGCUCAGGGAGAAACUGCUUCUGAGCUGAGGAAAAGCAAGGAGCUGGAGCCUCCAUCUGCAGCCUCCCUGGACCUGGUGGCUCAUAACAACAAAGCAGAGCAAGGAGUGCGAGACAACACCAAAACUGCUG